Long non-coding RNA from Felis catus (domestic cat), 4237 nucleotides. RefSeq lists it as uncharacterized. The transcript is spliced from 5 exons. Lineage: Eukaryota; Metazoa; Chordata; Mammalia; Carnivora; Felidae. The record is from RefSeq and is a predicted model, not a curated record.
AUUAACCGCUACGGAUCUGAGUUUACGAGACAAGACGAAACUACAGGCUUUGAAAGAGCUCCUUCCCAGGCUCACAGGCAGCAGACGUGACGAAGAAGGAAACAGCGGUUCUUCAAUACAGAAGGAAAUGGAGUCCCAGGGAGGCUAAGUGACUUGCCGAAAGUCAUACAGCAGGUAAAUGGGAAAGGCAAGAUCUGCGACUAGAUUUCCCUGACUCCGAGAGAGGACGGAAGACAGGAGAGGCCUGGAAAGGGGUGUAGAGGGACAAGAUGAAGAGGACGGGGCUACGUGGAAGAAGAAAGAAUGGAAAGAGGGAAAGAGAAGGCACAGAGAGAGUGGCAGCCCCGCUGCCCCGUGGCUCACCGCCGGUCCAGAGCAUGGUAACACUGGCGCAUCCAGCCCAGAGGUGGGACCUGGGCUCUAGUCGUGCCUCCGCUCAAGUGGACAAGCAGGUAAUUUUCAGCUACCAGCAGCUCCAGAGUUCCCACCAUAUACCUGGGGGGCACACAACUGUCAAGGAAGGGACAUGCUUCAGGAUGUGGGGUGUCGGGGGGACAUGACUGUAGACUUUCCAGUCAGCUGCUGAUCACAGGGCGUUCUUGUUGUUGCUUUUCCCUCCCAACAUCCACCCUGGGGCCCUUCAGGGCGUCGGACUCACCUGAACAAGUGCUCCAUGACAUAGGUAUAGUUGGGGAUGCUGCUGCUGGGUAGGUAACAGGAAGCAAAGACAAUGACAGCAUUGAGGCCAUCACCAUGGUAACCUGGAGAGGACAAAGGGACCAUUUAUUCAGUCAACAGCUACACAUUGACAGUACAUCUGUUUAGGUUGAAGGACUCUGAGGGUCUCUGAAAGUUACAGGAAGGAUUUUGUACCCAGUAACUGAGUUUCCAACUCAAGCCUUUUAUUCAGCCCAUGUCCCUAAACGCUUAGAGUGGACAUCUCUAGUUUGUGUCAUCUUCAAGUCACCACACCCAGCUGCUGACAGCAGUGAAGCUGACGUGGGGCUCGAACUCAUGAACUGCAAGAUCAUGACCUGAGCCAAAGUCAGACACUCAAUCAACAGAGCCACCCAGGUGCCCCAGCCAUAUUUCCUUUCUUGAUGACUCCACCCAUCUAGCGGCCUGAGAGAGAAAACUGAUGUCAUCCAAGAUUUUCUUCUCUGUCAGUGCUCAAGCCAGCUGGACCCCAUAUCUUCUUCCAUCUAUCUCCAUUGUAUUCUCUUAUUAUUCUUUCCACUAUUGCUGUCCUGAUUCAGGUUCUUAGCAUUACUCACCUGGCUUUAGUGCUAACCUCUUAACUGGUCUCCUUGCCUCUAGUUUGUUUACUUCAUUCCACCUUCUACCCCCUUGCUACAGCAAGCUUUGUUUUCUACCCUAUCUUUCUUAUUCAAAUGGCAAUAUACCAUAUCCAGCAAUUCUGCAUGAUCCUUCCAUAGCAAUGGAAACAGCCGCUUCAUCUUAAGAAAUUGUUGCCUAGUAUUUAGUAUUCCAUUGCAUGGACACACUGUAUUAGAUUUAAUACUCGACUGAUGGACCUUUAGGUUGUUUCCAACCUCUUUAGAGCCGUCAAAUCUGAUCAUGUUACUCCCUUGAUUAAAACCAUUCAGUGCCUUUUCAUUGCCUACUGGAUAAAAUCUAAACUCCUCAGUAUGGUAGCAAGGACCUCCAUGAUUUGACUCUUGCCAACUUAACAUAGCACCCUGAUUCAGAAGCUCAAGUGACAAUUUGGACAUGUGGUUGGCAUCUGAAGUCCAGGGCAGUCCUGUAGGGGAGCCCUUAACCUGUGGGGUCUGUGCUGACUCCAGUCAAGCAGCAUGGCUGAACUGUAAGACACCCUUUUGAUGUCUGGAGAAGUGGAGAAUUGGUUGGGGUGGGGAAAACCCACACAUCUGGUGUCGGAAGUGUUGUGAGUAGAGAAGAAACAAAGUUUUCCUUAAUAUCAAAAUAGUCAUGCUUAAUACUUUGAAUUCUCCAACAUGCCACGUUCUUACUCAACUUGUUUCUUCCACCUAGAAUGCCUCCCCAGCUACCUGAUAAAGGCCAGCUCAGAAUCACCUCCUCUGUGAAGUCUUUCCUAAUGUUUCUCAGGCAGAAUUGACCUUGUUCUCAUCCCUGCUGACCCAUAACCUAUACAUAUGUAGACCAUAAUCCUUAACUAUAUUUAUUUGCAUAAAAUAUGUAUAUUUUAAUUUCCUAUUAAACAGAGAAUUCCCUGAGGAUAGGACUAUCUUAUUCAUCUUUAUAACUUGGUUCUUGGUCAGUAAUAGCAUGUAACACUCACCGGAUAAAAUUUUCCUUAAUAAACAAAGGACCCUCCCCACCCCUCUACUGAUGACUCUCGCAUGGGAUCUAUAGGCUCUAGCUUUCUGUUCUGAGGAAAGUAAUUUUGCUGACCUUAUCACUUGGUCCCCACAUUAUUGCUUCUAACUUUAGUCCGAUUAAAUCCAUCCUGAGCUGCUUUAACUCUAGCUUCUACUCCUACCAGCUCCAGCCUCAGGUUUCUUUCCCACCUUCCCAUUCAAAUUCAUGUCCACUGUCCAGCUGCUCCGAGUCUGAAGGUGUCUCCAGUUCGUCUACCUCCAGGUCAGAACUGCCAUCAGGAGAGGAAGGUUCGGAAUGAGUGGGAGAAGCUCCACGGCCUCCACUCUCCUUAGUCAGAUUCAGCUGCAACUCUGGGGCAGAGAGACGCUUACGCAUGGGGCGUGGGCUACACAGGGCUAAAGUGCUUGGUGUACCUGGGAUUGGGAGAAAGGAGAAAAGAAUAAAAAAAUAUGUGUGUGUUGGCAAGAAGAGAUGGAAUUCCUGCAUAUAGAAGUAGUGAGAUGGGGUAAAUUCUAAAGAAGAACUAACAUGGGACAUUGGGGAAAAGAGAAGUAGAACUGUGAUGGGAUGAGGGCAGCAGUCUGGGCUAGAAUCAAGAACUUGAGGCCUACUUUUUUUUUUUUUUUUAAUGUUUAUUUAUUUUUGAGAGAGAAAGAGCGUGAGUGGAGGAGGGGCAGAGAGAGAGGAAGACACAGAAUCCGAAGCAGGCUCUAGGCUCCCAGCUGUCAGCACAAAUCCUGACACGGGGCCUGAACUCAUGAGCCGUGAGAUCAUGACCUGAGCCGAAGUUGGACACUCAACCGACUGAGCCACCCAGGGGCCCCGAGACCUAUGUUCUAAUUUACCAACCUGCCUGUGAGUCUCUCUUGGGAUCCUCAGGAUCUUCAGAACGGUCAACUUCUUCAGGAAGAAGUCUAGAGGGGAAAGAUUCCAAGGGGGAGCAGAAAUGAGGGUAACCGCAUCGAGCCAGGUAUCAGUUUAUCAGUCCUCUUGCCCUGCCACGAUUUUCUCACCUCUGCCUCCCUCCCCCGCUCCUUCCUUCAAGUCCUAAGGAACAUCCCUUAAAGUCCUCACCUGGGGAAUCCCUCAUCCUGCCACUCUUCCUUCAGCUCCAGCUCCCCGAGUCUCAGGGGUGCUGCUGGCCCUGCUUCAGCAUUCUCCCCAGCCCUAAGAGUCCCAGGGGAGAAGAGGUGAUCGUGAGACAAACUCGGCAGUGUCUUCAGGGAACUGGAUCGUAGGUUCACGAAAACAGUACACCAGACCCCAGAGCACCGAAGUCAGAACUGCUGACACAUCUCAACACGUGCAACUGAGGUGGUUUGAGCAACCGCCCUCCCUACCCCGACCGCCCCCAGCAGUCACUUCUGAGACAGUGAGGCAGCAGUCGACUGUGACAGUGAGAUCUGACUGCACUUCUCGAAGAUGGCCUCAGCUGAGAGUUUUGGCAGCCCCUGAUCCAGGGGGCAUUCGUCCACCAGGCUGUUCAUGGGCGUGGGGGGCAGUGGAGGCUCCUCCUCAUCUUGACUCAGUCCAGGCACCAGGGAGCUCCCUGCCCUGUCCAAGUCCUUGUCCGCCUGCUCCCUGCACACACCCUCGGUCUCGGGCUGCCCUGACGGGAUCUUCACAGAGUCAGAAUAUGCUGACAGGGCCUCCUGGAGCAGAGGCAGAAGUUUCUUCCGAGAUACCUGGGUGUUGCCCUGAAGAUAGGCCUGGAGGUUAGGGUGGGUGCUUGGGGCAGGGGUCAGCUUCAGGGACGGAGAGUGGGAGCAUUCCAGAACUCCACAGAUCUAAAGAGGAGACAAGAUGGGGAGAUGGUAUACGUGAGGUGGUGAAGCAAACAGCUGGGGUCUCUUAAGUUAGAGGCUUCCCUUAUAGAAGGAGAAACACUUUUGAUUAAAUCAGCCAGAGUUCAGUA